RNAcentral lists this non-coding RNA (130 nucleotides) under Coriobacteriaceae bacterium EMTCatB1. Its description in RNAcentral is "Molybdenum/Tungsten riboswitch aptamer (Moco RNA motif)". It matches the Rfam family "Molybdenum/Tungsten riboswitch aptamer (Moco RNA motif)". The record is from Rfam by way of RNAcentral. RNAcentral also lists the same sequence under 1 other name. Lineage: Bacteria; Bacillati; Actinomycetota; Coriobacteriia; Coriobacteriales; Coriobacteriaceae.
GAUGCGGACGGCCUCCGAGUCCCGGAGUCCUACGGCGGCUGGUCACCGCUAGGGAGUCGGGACCGAUAGGGUCGAGGCAGGAAACUCCUCGGCCUCCCGUGUUCGGAAAGGAGUCGACAUGACAGACCGC